RNAcentral lists this ribosomal RNA (486 nucleotides) under uncultured Faecalibacterium sp. RNAcentral describes it as "bacterial SSU rRNA". It matches the Rfam family "Bacterial small subunit ribosomal RNA", at positions 8 to 507 of the family's 1533-position model. Lineage: Bacteria; Bacillati; Bacillota; Clostridia; Eubacteriales; Oscillospiraceae. The record is from RNAcentral.
AGAGUUUGAUCCUGGCUCAGGACGAACGCUGGCGGCGCGCCUAACACAUGCAAGUCGAACGAGAGAUGAGGAGCUUGCUCUUCAAAUCGAGUGGCGAACGGGUGAGUAACGCGUGAGGAACCUGCCUCAAAGAGGGGGACAACAGUUGGAAACGACUGCUAAUACCGCAUAAGCCCACGGCUCGGCAUCGAGCAGAGGGAAAAGGAGUGAUCCGCUUUGAGAUGGCCUCGCGUCCGAUUAGCUAGUUGGUGAGGUAACGGCCCACCAAGGCGACGAUCGGUAGCCGGACUGAGAGGUUGAACGGCCACAUUGGGACUGAGACACGGCCCAGACUCCUACGGGAGGCAGCAGUGGGGAAUAUUGCACAAUGGGGGAAACCCUGAUGCAGCGACGCCGCGUGGAGGAAGAAGGUCUUCGGAUUGUAAACUCCUGUUGUUGAGGAAGAUAAUGACGGUACUCAACAAGGAAGUGACGGCUAACUACGUG